RNAcentral lists this transfer RNA (81 nucleotides) under Candidatus Tayloriibacteriota bacterium. Its description in RNAcentral is "Candidatus Taylorbacteria bacterium (sediment metagenome) tRNA-Leu". It matches the Rfam family "tRNA". From Rfam's summary of the family: Transfer RNA (tRNA) molecules are approximately 80 nucleotides in length. Their secondary structure includes four short double-helical elements and three loops (D, anti-codon, and T loops). The record is from RNAcentral. Lineage: Bacteria; Candidatus Tayloriibacteriota.
GGGCAGGUGGCGGAAUGGUAGACGCGCUAGCCUUAGGAGCUAGUGGAGCAAUCCAUGGGAGUUCAAAUCUCCCCCUGCCCA